GAAAUCUUGCUUGCCUUGUGGAGAAGCAGUGACAGGUAAGAAAGAUUGAUUUUAAUUCCUGUCUAACCAUCUGUCUCUGGGGAAAAACACAAGGCAUACUUUCCUCAGAGAGCUACUUACAAAGAGGUUUAGAACAAUACAUCACUAAUCAAAAUCUUUUGCAGGUAAACACUGAGGUAUCCCAGGGUGUGAUGGAAAUGCAGAUGUAGCUGAAUAAUUGCCAAAUUGCACUCCACAUCUUCAGAUMACACCGUGGUUUGGAAAAUCCUUUCCUGGAGAACCAUGCAAUUGAAAAAGAAGAGGUGAAUGAAGGGAAAGCACCAGCAGAGAAAUACAGGUUUCUAUUGCUAUACUUCUUGUUUCCUAAUCUCCUUGGGAUAAAUUUAACUUUGUUUUUCAAGAAUAGUGUGAYAUGCACUCCACAGUGCAAGAUUCUAACCUGUAGCU
Molecule: long non-coding RNA, 447 nt
Filed under: Dromaius novaehollandiae (emu)
Lineage: Eukaryota; Metazoa; Chordata; Aves; Casuariiformes; Dromaiidae
Description: lncRNA (ENSDNVG00000011684.1)
Source: RNAcentral